RNAcentral lists this small nuclear RNA (22 nucleotides) under Arabidopsis thaliana (thale cress). Its description in RNAcentral is "snRNA_13112". The record is from RNAcentral. Lineage: Eukaryota; Viridiplantae; Streptophyta; Magnoliopsida; Brassicales; Brassicaceae.
UCCCACUACAUAGAGUACCUGA